Polypterus senegalus (gray bichir) is the source of this 326-nucleotide long non-coding RNA. RefSeq lists it as uncharacterized. The record is from RefSeq and is a predicted model, not a curated record. The transcript is spliced from 3 exons. Lineage: Eukaryota; Metazoa; Chordata; Cladistia; Polypteriformes; Polypteridae.
CUAAGCUCUCUCAUGCAUUGCUGUGUCUUCAUGCUACAGCUAGAACGGGGCAAAUAUAAAGAAACAUGGAGGGAAACAGAGUGGAAUGAGAAAAGUAAGCAACUGUUCAAAGUCCUGUGCAGGCACCUGAGCCACUGGAAUGAAGUAUCAAGCUGUUUUCCUGCACAUGGAAAGACAUCUGAGAUGCUGUGAGCCUUGGAAGUAAUGGAUGGAAAGAAAGAUUCUGUCACCAUAUUGGAUGGCCCAGCACAGACUGAACUGCAAAAGGCAUAGCUGGUCCAGUUGGCCAGUGUCUCAAGGGGUCUCAUUUAUAAACUUUGCAUGGA